GACGAACGCUGGCGGCGUGCUUAACGCAUGCAAGUCGAACGGAAAGGCCCUGCUUUUGUGGGGUGCUCGAGUGGCGAACGGGUGAGUAACACGUGAGUAACCUGCCCUUGACUUUGGGAUAACUUCAGGAAACUGGGGCUAAUACCGGAUAGGAGCUCCUGCUGCAUGGUGGGGGUUGGAAAGUUUCGGCGGUUGGGGAUGGACUCGCGGCUUAUCAGCUUGUUGGUGGGGUAGUGGCUUACCAAGGCUUUGACGGGUAGCCGGCCUGAGAGGGUGACCGGCCACAUUGGGACUGAGAUACGGCCCAGACUCCUACGGGAUGCAGCAGUGGGGAAUAUUGCACAAUGGGCGGAAGCCUGAUGCAGCAACGCCGCGUGCGGGAUGACGGCCUUCGGGUUGUAAACCGCUUUCGCCUGUGACGAAGCGUGAGUGACGGUAAUGGGUAAAGAAGCACCGGCUAACUACGUG
RNAcentral lists this ribosomal RNA (468 nucleotides) under uncultured bacterium. RNAcentral describes it as "partial 16S ribosomal RNA". It matches the Rfam family "Bacterial small subunit ribosomal RNA", at positions 28 to 507 of the family's 1533-position model. The record is from RNAcentral.